UGGGGAAUAUUGGACAAUGGGCGCAAGCCUGAUCCAGCCAUGCCGCGUGAGUGAUGAAGGCCCUAGGGUUGUAAAGCUCUUUCACCGGUGAAGAUAAUGACGGUAACCGGAGAAGAAGCCCCGGCUAACUUCGUGCCAGCAGCCGCGGUAAUACGAAGGGGGCUAGCGUUGUUCGGAUUUACUGGGCGUAAAGCGCACGUAGGCGGACUUUUAAGUCAGGGGUGAAAUCCCGGGGCUCAACCCCGGAACUGCCUUUGAUACUGGAAGUCUUGAGUAUGGUCGAGGUGAGUGGAAUUCCGAGUGUAGCGGUGAAAUGCGUAGAUAUUGGGAGGAACACCAGUAGCGAAGGCGGCUUUCUGGACUGCAACUGACACUGAGGCACGAAAGCGUGGGUAGCAAACAGG
Molecule: ribosomal RNA, 404 nt
Filed under: Verrucomicrobiota bacterium
Lineage: Bacteria; Pseudomonadati; Verrucomicrobiota
Description: Verrucomicrobia bacterium partial 16S ribosomal RNA
Rfam family: Bacterial small subunit ribosomal RNA
Source: RNAcentral